Molecule: unclassified non-coding RNA, 200 nt
Filed under: soil metagenome
Description: partial contains internal transcribed spacer 2 and large subunit ribosomal RNA
Source: RNAcentral
GAUGUUGGACGUUGUCUGUGAAAGGACAGGUCUGGAACGCGUGGGCGCCGCCGCCGGACCACGAGCGUAGCAAGACGCAAGUCAUCGCUCGGUGGGUUCACACGGUGGACGGCUGUCUACAGAUGCUGGGCAACACCUGCGUCGAAAGGACUAUACCAAAGUUUGGCCUCGGAUCAGGCGGGGAUACCCGCUGAACUUAA